RNAcentral lists this ribosomal RNA (483 nucleotides) under uncultured bacterium. Its description in RNAcentral is "partial 16S ribosomal RNA". It matches the Rfam family "Bacterial small subunit ribosomal RNA", at positions 30 to 506 of the family's 1533-position model. The record is from RNAcentral.
AUUGAACGCUGGCGGCAGGCCUAACACAUGCAAGUCGAGCGGAUGAAGGGAGCUUGCUCCUGGAUUCAGCGGCGGACGGGUGAGUAAUGCCUAGGAAUCUGCCUGGUAGUGGGGGAUAACGUCCGGAAACGGGCGCUAAUACCGCAUACGUCCUGAGGGAGAAAGUGGGGGAUCUUCGGACCUCACGCUAUCAGAUGAGCCUAGGUCGGAUUAGCUAGUUGGUGGGGUAAAGGCCUACCAAGGCGACGAUCCGUAACUGGUCUGAGAGGAUGAUCAGUCACACUGGAACUGAGACACGGUCCAGACUCCUACGGGAGGCAGCAGUGGGGAAUAUUGGACAAUGGGCGAAAGCCUGAUCCAGCCAUGCCGCGUGUGUGAAGAAGGUCUUCGGAUUGUAAAGCACUUUAAGUUGGGAGGAAGGGCAGUAAGUUAAUACCUUGCUGUUUUGACGUUACCAACAGAAUAAGCAUCGGCUAACUUCGU